CGGUAGCUAAGUGCGGAAGAGAUAACCGCCGAAAGCAUCUAAGCGGGAAACUUGCCUCGAGAUGAGUCUUCCCUGGCGCUUUAAGUGGCCUAAAGGAACGUUUAAGACUAAGACGUUGAUAGGCUGGGUGUGUAAGCGUAGCGAUACGUUGAGCUAACCAGUACUAAUGAACCGUGAGGCUUAACCUG
This 188-nucleotide ribosomal RNA is filed under the name Proteus mirabilis. RNAcentral's name for it is "partial 23S ribosomal RNA". It matches the Rfam family "Bacterial large subunit ribosomal RNA", at positions 2743 to 2925 of the family's 2925-position model. Lineage: Bacteria; Pseudomonadati; Pseudomonadota; Gammaproteobacteria; Enterobacterales; Morganellaceae. The record is from RNAcentral.